GGGAGCUCUGUAGCAUUUCUCAUAUUAUAUGUGGAUGACAUACUAUUGAUGGGAAAUGAUAUAGAACUUUUGGAAAGCAUAAAGGCAUACUUGAAUAAGUGUUUUUCAAUGAAGGAACUUGGAGAAGCUGCUUACAUAUUAGGCAUCAAGAUCUAUAGAGAUAGAUCGAGACGCCUCAUAGGUCUUUCACAAAGCACAUACCUUGAUAAGAUAUUGAAAAAGUUCAAUAUGGAUCAGUCCAAGAAGGGGUUCUUGCCUGUAUUGCAAGGUGUGAAAUUGAGCUCAGCUCAAAGCCCGACCACGGCAAAAGAUAGAGAAAAGAUGAGUGUCAUCCCCUAUGCCUCAGCCAUAGGGUCUAUUAUGUAUGCCAUGAUGUGUACCAUACCUGAUGUAAACCUUGCCGUAAGUUUGGUAGGAAGGUACCAAAGUAAUCCUGGC
Molecule: ribosomal RNA, 438 nt
Filed under: Triticum aestivum (bread wheat)
Lineage: Eukaryota; Viridiplantae; Streptophyta; Magnoliopsida; Poales; Poaceae
Description: partial small subunit ribosomal RNA
Source: RNAcentral